AAAAAAUAUAUUUUUUAAGGAAAAACAUGCAAAAAAGAGCAAGUGAAGUUAAAGGGUUUUGUCAUAUAUGCCAUACAGUAUAUGUUGCCUUUUAAUGUCACUGUUUUUACAUGUCUAUGCAGCACGAUGAGAAGCCAUACUGCACUAACUGCUACAUGAGAGAUUUUGGACCCAGAGGUAGCCGAAAACCUGUUGCUCGAACAGCUUCUUAAGAGGGGUCUUGCAGUCUUGAGAAACACACUGGAUCUGCUUUUUCUCUUACAGUAUCUGCUUUACACUGCCACACACAGCAAACCACUGUUAAAUACUGCCAAGUUGAUCUCUCCUUACCACAGAAUAAAAUACAACUCCACCCUUAUGAUUCCAUUCAGCAUAAAUGACCAGAAUCAACAGCCAUCCACGUUGGCAUUCUCUCAGGGAAAUGCUCUACUUUGUGUGUUUAAAUCUUUUGCCUUGAUUUCACAGUUAAGGCACCUAAAUAUUGUACGUUAUUUUUUUAAUUGAGUUGUAUCUUAUUCUUUAGAACGGGAGAUGAGAAAAUAUCAAACUGUAUGGUGAAACGAAUGUUGGUGUAGGAAGGCUGUUAUGUACAAGCAUCGUGUGUUUUUGAUUUCAAGACUCUGUAUACCAUUAAUUAAUUGAUUAACUUGAAACACAAUGUAAUUUUUUUCUGUUCUAUUAUUGUUUGUUCUUUUCUGGGAUUUUGUGGAUCAGAGGCUAUAAAACAAAGAGUUUCUUAACCAGGCAGCAAAAGUAUCUACAAAGCAAAAAUGACAAUAAUUAAUCAUUGUGUCUUUUUAAUUAGAAGCAGAAGCUUGCACCCCAACCCUCAUGGCUUUAUCAGUUUUGUUAAUUCAGGAAGAAUACAUAUUUGAUUUUAUCUGUUUUUUUCUCAUUAGUUCAUUGAAAAGAAGUGUCACUCAGAGCUGCCAACUAGCGUAUUGUCAACUCAUUGAAUCAGAAGAAUAAUUUCAUAUUUCUUAUCCUCAAAUCCAUAAAAUAAACUGUAAAAAUAAUAAUGCAAUAAUUACUAUGAAUUUUAUGGAACACUUUCUUUUCUGUUGAAAAUUGCAUUUGAAUAAUUGAAGAUUUGUACCUCAAAAUGUAACUGCCUA
RNAcentral lists this long non-coding RNA (1115 nucleotides) under Sinocyclocheilus grahami. RNAcentral's name for it is "lncRNA (ENSSGRG00000012108.1)". Lineage: Eukaryota; Metazoa; Chordata; Actinopteri; Cypriniformes; Cyprinidae. The record is from RNAcentral.